This is a non-coding RNA of Phialocephala subalpina, 72 nucleotides long. The record is from the annotation of a GenBank genome assembly. NCBI's taxonomy places the organism in Eukaryota, Fungi, Ascomycota, Leotiomycetes, Helotiales, Mollisiaceae.
GGCACUUUAGUGUAGAGGUUUAGCACGUCGAUUCUGAUUUCGGAUUCCUGGGUUCGACUCCCAGAAGAGCCU